This 76-nucleotide transfer RNA is filed under the name Phycisphaerae bacterium. RNAcentral describes it as "tRNA-Ala". It matches the Rfam family "tRNA". From Rfam's summary of the family: Transfer RNA (tRNA) molecules are approximately 80 nucleotides in length. Their secondary structure includes four short double-helical elements and three loops (D, anti-codon, and T loops). The record is from RNAcentral. Lineage: Bacteria; Pseudomonadati; Planctomycetota; Phycisphaerae.
GGGGCCGUAGCUCAGCUGGGAGAGCGCUUGCAUGGCAUGCAAGAGGUCGUCGGUUCGAUCCCGAUCGGCUCCACCU